UGUACAGCUAUCGUGCAGUCGAGCGGACAGAAGGGAGCUUGCUCCCGGAUGUUAGCGGCGGACGGGUGAGUAACACGUGGGUAACCUGCCUGUAAGACUGGGAUAACUCCGGGAAACCGGAGCUAAUACCGGAUAGUUCCUUGAACCGCAUGGUUCAAGGAUGAAAGACGGUUUCGGCUGUCACUUACAGAUGGACCCGCGGCGCAUUAGCUAGUUGGUGAGGUAACGGCUCACCAAGGCGACGAUGCGUAGCCGACCUGAGAGGGUGAUCGGCCACACUGGGACUGAGACACGGCCCAGACUCCUACGGGAGGCAGCAGUAGGGAAUCUUCCGCAAUGGACGAAAGUCUGACGGAGCAACGCCGCGUGAGUGAUGAAGGUUUUCGGAUCGUAAAGCUCUGUUGUUAGGGAAGAACAAGUGCAAGAGUAACUGCUUGCACCUUGACGGUACCUAACCAGAAAGCCACGGCUAACUACGUGCCAGCAGCCGCGGUAAUACGUAGGUGGCAAGCGUUGUCCGGAAUUAUUGGGCGUAAAGGGCUCGCAGGCGGUUUCUUAAGUCUGAUGUGAAAGCCCCCGGCUCAACCGGGGAGGGUCAUUGGAAACUGGGAAACUUGAGUGCAGAAGAGGAGAGUGGAAUUCCACGUGUAGCGGUGAAAUGCGUAGAGAUGUGGAGGAACACCAGUGGCGAAGGCGACUCUCUGGUCUGUAACUGACGCUGAGGAGCGAAAGCGUGGGGAGCGAACAGGAUUAGAUACCCUGGUAGUCCACGCCGUAAACGAUGAGUGCUAAGUGUUAGGGGGUUUCCGCCCCUUAGUGCUGCAGCUAACGCAUUAAGCACUCCGCCUGGGGAGUACGGUCGCAAGACUGAAACUCAAAGGAAUUGACGGGGGCCCGCACAAGCGGUGGAGCAUGUGGUUUAAUUCGAAGCAACGCGAGAACCUUACCAGGUCUUGACAUCCUCUGACAACCCUAGAGAUAGGGCUUUCCCUUCGGGGACAGAGUGACAGGUGGUGCAUGAUUGUCGUCAGCUCGUGUCGUGAGAUGUUGGGUUAAGUCCCGCAACGAGCGCACCCUUGAUCUUAGUUGCCAGCAUUCAGUUGGGCAACUCUAAGUG
This 1117-nucleotide ribosomal RNA is filed under the name Bacillus sp. NS88. RNAcentral describes it as "bacterial SSU rRNA". It matches the Rfam family "Bacterial small subunit ribosomal RNA", at positions 43 to 1146 of the family's 1533-position model. Lineage: Bacteria; Bacillati; Bacillota; Bacilli; Caryophanales; Bacillaceae. The record is from RNAcentral.